This 473-nucleotide ribosomal RNA is filed under the name uncultured bacterium. RNAcentral's name for it is "bacterial SSU rRNA". It matches the Rfam family "Bacterial small subunit ribosomal RNA", at positions 28 to 507 of the family's 1533-position model. The record is from RNAcentral.
GAUGAACGCUGGCGGCGUGCCUAAUACAUGCAAGUCGAACGGAGAUUCUGUCGUAAUUCGUUACAGCGGAAAUCUCAGUGGCGAACAGGUGAGUAACGCGUUGGUGACCUGCCCCGGAGAGGGGGAUAACAGCUUGAAAGGGCUGCUAAUACCCCAUGAUGUCUAGAGGGUUAGAAACUUCUAGACGAAAGGCUUCGGUCGCUUCGGGAGGGCCUGCGUCCCAUCAGCUAGUUGGUAGGGUAAUGGCCUACCAAGGCGAAGACGGGUAGGGGACCUGAGAGGGUGACCCCCCACAAUGGAACUGAAACACGGUCCAUACACCUACGGGUGGCAGCAGUAGGGAAUAUUGCACAAUGGGCGAAAGCCUGAUGCAGCAACGCCGCGUGCGCGAAGAAGGCCUUCGGGUUGUAAAGCGCUUUUCGGGGAGAAGAGAAAGGACGGUAUCCCCGGAAUAAGGAUCGGCUAACUACGUG